This 458-nucleotide long non-coding RNA is filed under the name Olea europaea subsp. europaea. The record is from RNAcentral. Lineage: Eukaryota; Viridiplantae; Streptophyta; Magnoliopsida; Lamiales; Oleaceae.
CGAGAGCUUAGGAUCUAUUGUGACUUACCAGUUAGACGUGAGUUGAGUGAUCUGUUUAGUGAGCAUGGUGGGCGAUGAGAGGAGAUAUGUGUUCUCGAGGUGUGAGCAACAUGGAAUGAGACAGGAUAAGUGUGGUGAGAUCUUUUCUUAGGGUCAUUUAUGCAUGUGUUGCAUAUAUGGUUGAUCGUGGUUUGAUUAACUAGGUGUUAUUCUGUGGUUCUGUGCGAACGUGAUUUUGAAAAGAUCUGUGUGUGUGUUAUCCUAUAUAUCUUCAUCGCAUGAUUGUUUGUUCAUUGUGAAUACUUGUUUCUACUUGGAUAUUUUUGACCUUAGCCCUGGUGAGUACAUGGAGCAAGUAUGGUAUGUGUUUCGGUUCGAAACACGAGAUAAGGUUUGUUAUUCCAAUUUUAUUGGAUUACCUUGAUUGAGCAAGUACAAACUGUGUAUUUUGGUUGCUU